GUUAUACCAGGGUUAUACCAAGGUUGACUGUGUGUUUGAAAGGGGUAACCCUCCUCGAUCUACUCUGCUUCUCAACCCAGUUAGCGAGUGCGUGACAUUCGCAUGAACUUGCAUUUUGCCUCUCAAAACUCCUGACAUUUGCCAGACCAAGAAAGAGCCAGAUUCCUGUAUUGCUCCACUGAUCCUACCUGUACAAAAAGCAUUCAGCAAAGUAAGCUUCACAUCAUCGGGUGUCCCGCUGGCCUUUGGGGACUUAAGGCUCUCGCUCUCGUCAGUUUUUUCACUCUCCAAGGACAAAGCCAUGACGGGUGCCUCCAGGUCAGCCUCAGCGGACAGUGCCCUGGGUGUUUGGCAGAACUCGUCAUCCUCAUCACUAAGGAUGUCUGUCUCCUUCACCUCUUCCGGGUCCUCGUAUUCUUCUAGGUCAAACUGUUCUUCCACCCAGCGGUCUGUGUCACCUGCUAACUCAGACUGCUGCGGCUUGUCUGGUUUGUGGUCCUGCUGCAGCCGAUUUGAGUCGGGCUCCUGUGGUGAAGCAAGGUCCUGUUCGGGCUCGCCAUCAAAAACUAUGUCUGUGUCUAUGGUGAAACGGUUGCGCACUAACUUCCUUCUGCCUAGAGUUCUGGUCGGUGCAGAUGCUGCAGAAAAACAGGUCAUCAUAAAACAUCAAAUAAAUACUUAAUUAACUUAAAAAAUACUUAAUAAGUCAACUAACUCUUUCAGGACAUUACUUUGGAUUUUGGUACCAUACCGUUAGAAUGACAAAUUUCUCACAUUUUGAGUACUAUAUGAACAAAAAUGUAAUUUGUUGAUUAAUCAACAAUGAGCAAUACUGGUGUAGAGCACAGUCAAAUUACAUAAUAAAGGUUGUCCUGUCUGGACAGGGUAUCCUACCUGCGUUGUAAAUAAAAACAAAAUAAAAAAACUUUUUAAAAUGAUUCGUAGUAUCAGUUACAAACUUAAUUGAAGUUAGCGAUGCCACGAUUGAUCAAACGCCAAUCAUUUUUGGUCAAUAUUUACUAAACAUGUGAUCAGGGGCUCGGCCUUAAUCUCUUCUAGCCGCCGAUAAACUACACACAAAGUUAAACACUCAACCGAGAGCUGCCAUUAUGGUCGGUUUUGAAAUCAGACGCGUUAUUAUUAAUCCCACUUUGUUUCUUGCAGAGCAAGCGGUCGGAGCAGAGGUGAGUUUAACCCUCGUGU
Long non-coding RNA from Perca flavescens (yellow perch), 1203 nucleotides. RefSeq lists it as uncharacterized. NCBI's taxonomy places the organism in Eukaryota, Metazoa, Chordata, Actinopteri, Perciformes, Percidae. The transcript has 4 exons. The record is from RefSeq and is a predicted model, not a curated record.